CGGGUGAGUAACGCGUGAGAAUCUGUCUUCAGGUCGGGGACAACCGUUGGAAACGACUGCUAAUACCGGAUGUGCCGAGAGGUGAAAGAUAUUCCGCCUGAGGAAGAGCUCGCGUCCGAUUAGUCAGUUGGUGAGGUAAGAGCUCACCAAGGCAGCGAUCGGUAGCUGGUCUGAGAGGAUGAGCAGCCACACUGGGACUGAGACACGGCCCAGACUCCUACGGGAGGCAGCAGUGGGGAAUUUUCCGCAAUGGGCGAAAGCCUGACGGAGCAAUGCCGCGUGUGGGAAGAAGGCUCUUGGGUUGUCAACCUCUUUUCUCAGGGAAGAAGACCUGACGGUACCUGAGGAAUCAGCCUCGGCUAACUCCGUGCCAGCAGCCGCGGUAAUACGGAGGAGGCAAGCGUUAUCCGGAAUUAUUGGGCGUAAAGCGUCCGCAGGUGGCGCAUCAAGUCUGCUGUUAAAGGCUGGAGCUUAACUCCGGUAGAGCAGUGGAAACUGGAAAGCUAGAGGGCGACAGGGGUAGAGGGAAUUCCCAGUGUAGCGGUGAAAUGCGUAGAGAUUGGGAAGAACACCGGUGGCGAAAGCGCUCUACUGGGUCGCACCUGACACUGAGGGACGAAAGCUAGGGGAGCGAAUGGGAUUAGAUA
This 647-nucleotide ribosomal RNA is filed under the name Aphanothece naegelii. Its description in RNAcentral is "bacterial SSU rRNA". It matches the Rfam family "Bacterial small subunit ribosomal RNA", at positions 103 to 784 of the family's 1533-position model. The record is from RNAcentral. Lineage: Bacteria; Bacillati; Cyanobacteriota; Cyanophyceae; Chroococcales; Aphanothecaceae.